UUUGUUAACCAAAACAAGAAAGGAGUAUAGCGGUCACGCAUAUGACAAAUUUAAACAGAGUACUUCACGCUAAAAACAUCUCGCCGGAGUUCAUCAACUCAACACACCAUAGUUCACCACACAUAGCAUAGGGGAACCGAAACAUAGCAUAUAGGGGAUCUACUAGUCGUCGAAGCCGGGGGUGGGCGGGGGACUACUUCACCGAGGUUCUACUCAUCCGAGUCAGAGUCAUCCGAGUCGGAGUCAUCGUCCUCAUCGUCUUCGUCACUGGAGAUGACCUCGGUGGGCAGCGGCUUCCCUCCGUGAAUGGUGUCGUAGAUGAGGUCGUCGUAGAUCUGGCUUUGGAGGUCAUACUCCUCCCAUAGCACACAAGAAGGCAGGGUUACUUACUUUUUUUUUUGGAAUGAAAAACUCUUAAAAAUUCCAGCGGUUGACUGGUGUUUGUUAAUAAAAAGAAGAAAGGAGUAUGAAAGUAGGAAGGUGGGAGGGGGAAGCGAAGGAAGCGAGUGAGCGGUUUACUUUUGUAGUUCCCUUCCCUACACACUCAUGCAAGCGGUUUAUUCUUGCGGUGUCCCCAUGACGCUUGUGCUUCAGUCGAUGUUGUUGUCAUCGUUGUCACGGUGGUCGAGUUUGGGUUGCGUUUGUGACGGUACUCAUAUUUUUUUCCGUUGUUAACCGAAAGAAUAUGGCUCGUCUGCCUUUUAAUUGCUAGCAAAGCACACAUAGAAAGGCAUGACUGAUUACUUGGGAUGAGCAGGCUGGUUGUUUUUGUCCUGAACCCCAGAAAAUCGCCCUUUUAGCAAAGCAGAAGAAAAGGCAGGGUUACUUACUUUUUUUGGAAAUGGGAAACUCUUAAAAAUUCCAGCAGUUGACUGGUGUUUGUUAAUCAAAAGAAUAAAAGAAAAGAAAAAAGAAGAACAAAGAAGUAUGAGAGCAGGAAGGUGGGAGGGGAAAGCGAGUGAGCAGUUUAUUCUUGCGGUUCCCUUUCCCACACGCUCAUGCAAGCGGUUUAUUCUUGCAGUGUCUCCGCGACACUUGUGCUUCGUUGAUGUUGUCGUCAUCGUAGUCAAGUUUGGGUUGCUUUUGUUGCGGAUUGGGUGCUGGGUUUCGCAUCCAUGCCUUGCGAUGUCAUGUUGUUUAGAGUUCUUCGGCGAGGCACGCCCCUGUGGCGUGACAGGGGGCGUGCCUUUUUACCCUUUUAGUGUACUAGCACACUAAUGAAAAAGGCAUGUGUUACUUACUUUGGAGUGAAAAAAGUCUUGAUUACAUAUGAUUGAUAAUGUCAGUCGACCGGUGUGUGUUUGUUUGUUAAUUAUAUUAGUAUAUAUAAAUAAAAUAAGAAAAGGAAAGGAAAAGGAAUAUGAAAGCAGUAAGGUGGAAGGGGAAAGCGAAGGGUUUAUUCUUCCAUUUGUGUUGUAGAAAGAAGUCGUCAUUUUCUUCCGUUGCCUUGCCUACGCACGCGCCUCCUUCUUCUUUCUUUCUUGUGCCGACACACAGAGAGAGAGAACCCAUUGUCUAUCAUCAUCAGCAUCCAUCCAUCCACCAAAACAAAUAUUCCACCUUUCCUUUUUGUUUCCAGAUUACCGGAGGAAUGAUGAGUUGAUUCAUUCUCACUAUCCACUCCAAAAUCUACUCGAGCUCACCUCAUCCAUCCACCAAAAAGGCAGGGUUACUUACUUUUAUGGAAUGGAAAACUCUUAAAAAUUCCAGCAAUUGACUUGUGUUUAUUAAUCAAAAGAAGAAAGGAGGAUAGCGAUCCCGCAUAUGAUAGAAAUUUAAACAAAGUACUUCGCGCUAGAAACAUCUCGCAGGAGUUCAUCAACCCAACACAUCAUAGUUCACCACGCAUAGCAUAGGGGAGUUUUUGCAAACCAUAAUAAUUAUACAUAGCAUAGGGGCACCGAAACAUAGCAUAGGGGAUCUACUAGUCGCCGGAGCUGGGGGUGGGCGGGGUCUACUUCACCGGGGUUCUACUCAUCGGAGUCAGAGUCAUCGCCCUCGUCAUUGUCGUCGCUGGAGAUGACCUCGGCGGGUAGCGGCUUCCCUCCAUAAAUGGUGUCGUAGAUGAGGUCGCAGUAGAUCCGGCUUUGGAGUUGGUACUCAUCCCAGAGCGUCAGCAGCCGCACAGCCGCAACCGCAUCUUUGGCAUCGGCGGCGGUCCUCGCCUGAAACCACGCCCACUCGGCCUCCCACUGGCACUCCCACUGGCACUGGAUCGCCGAGUCGAAGAGCCGGUCGCAGCGCCGGGAGGUCUUCCACGCACGCGACCUCGAUCCAGCACUGCGGGACUUGGCGCCACGCGUGCACGCCGCCGCCCGUUGCUUCUUCGACACCGGAGAGCGGAGGCCAGAGUCGCCGGCCUCGUCGUCGUUCUGGCGCUUGCGGGCGAAGAAGCCGCCGCGCGCACCGCCUCCACCGCGACACCCGAAGCCACCGCGAUCGCCGAACCCCCUUCCGCCGCCACGCCCCGCACCGGCGGACGCCAUGGUAGCUUCGAUCCGGCAGAAAACAGGCCGCAAAAGGCCGUCGCUCGAUUUCUCACUGGAGUACACGAAAGGCGGCGGAGAGGGCUAGAGGAAAUGGAGGGCGG
Molecule: long non-coding RNA, 2590 nt
Filed under: Triticum aestivum (bread wheat)
Lineage: Eukaryota; Viridiplantae; Streptophyta; Magnoliopsida; Poales; Poaceae
Description: long non-coding RNA (TAES_LNC007614)
Source: RNAcentral